This 255-nucleotide ribosomal RNA is filed under the name uncultured bacterium. Its description in RNAcentral is "partial 16S ribosomal RNA". It matches the Rfam family "Bacterial small subunit ribosomal RNA", at positions 74 to 334 of the family's 1533-position model. The record is from RNAcentral.
CAAACCAAAGCUGGCGACCGGCGCACGGGUGAGUAACACGUAUCCAACCUGCCGACAACACUGGGAUAGCCUUUCGAAAGAAAGAUUAAUACCGGAUGGCAUAGUUUUCCCGCAUGGGAUAAUUAUUAAAGAAUUUCGGUUGUCGAUGGGGAUGCGUUCCAUUGGGCAGUUGGCGGGGUAACGGCCCACCAAACCAACGAUGGAUAGGGGUUCUGAGAGGAAGGUCCCCCACAUUGGAACUGAGACACGGUCCAA